Molecule: ribosomal RNA, 464 nt
Filed under: uncultured bacterium
Lineage: Bacteria
Description: bacterial SSU rRNA
Rfam family: Bacterial small subunit ribosomal RNA
Source: RNAcentral
GAUGAACGCUGGCGGCGUGCCUAACACAUGCAAGUCGAACGGACUUAAGAUGAAACCUAGUGAUUUUAAGUUAGUGGCGGACGGGUGAGUAACGCGUGGGCAACCUGCCUCAUACAGGGGGAUAACACUUAGAAAUAGGUGCUAAUACCGCAUAAGCGCACAGUUUCGCAUGAAACAGUGUGAAAAACUCCGGUGGUAUGAGAUGGACCCGCGUCUGAUUAGCUAGUUGGUGGGGUAACGGCCUACCAAGGCGACGAUCAGUAGCCGGCCUGAGAGGGUGAACGGCCACAUUGGGACUGAGACACGGCCCAAACUCCUACGGGAGGCAGCAGUGGGGAAUAUUGCACAAUGGGGGAAACCCUGAUGCAGCAACGCGCGUGAGUGAAGAAGUAUUCGGUAUGUAAAGCUCUAUCAGCAAGGAGAAAAAUGACGGUACUUGACUAAGAAGCCCCGGNUAACUACGU